AUGUGGCCAAGAGCAGGAAGCCCGUGAUUCCAACCCGCAGGAGUUGAUUGUGUGCAGUAUAUUUCGAUGUAGAUCGAUGCAUCUGCCGAACUCCUAGUCAAAACAAUGGUUGCCACCUUUAUGUUUCCCAGGCAUGGCCAAUUAAAGUGAACAUAUGCUUGUGUUUUAUGAUAAUGUGGAAACUGUACUUGUUAUGAUCCUUUGCCAUCCAACUGUUAUGAGCAGGGUCGAUCCAGUAACAUGUUCUGCACGAGUCGAAAUCAUCAAUGACGUUGCUAUCCCUGCGACUCGUGUCCAUCAUCUUCGAUACUGUUAAUCAAGAUGUUACUCCCUCAUUUCAAGGCGGUGGAGGACCACAUCAAGGUUGAUUUUUUGUUUUUUCCCGAUAUGUUGGUUGAUUGAUUUUGGGGGAAGGAGAUCCAUUUCAUCAGGUUGAACUAGCAUGCUAAAAUUGCUAGAGACCUCUUGUUUA
Molecule: long non-coding RNA, 472 nt
Filed under: Eucalyptus grandis
Lineage: Eukaryota; Viridiplantae; Streptophyta; Magnoliopsida; Myrtales; Myrtaceae
Description: long non-coding RNA (EGRA_LNC002172)
Source: RNAcentral